Molecule: non-coding RNA, 21 nt
Filed under: Caenorhabditis elegans
Lineage: Eukaryota; Metazoa; Nematoda; Chromadorea; Rhabditida; Rhabditidae
Source: RNAcentral
UAAGUCCUGGAUUGAAAUUUU